CGGAUGUGCCCAAGUGGAUCAAGGCAGUGGA
RNAcentral lists this transfer RNA (31 nucleotides) under Curcuma longa (turmeric). RNAcentral describes it as "partial tRNA-His". The record is from RNAcentral. Lineage: Eukaryota; Viridiplantae; Streptophyta; Magnoliopsida; Zingiberales; Zingiberaceae.